ACGAACGCUGGCGGCGUGCCUAAUACAUGCACGUCGAACGCUUCUUUCCUCCCGAGUGCUUGCACUCAAUUGGAAAGAGGAGUGGCGGACGGGUGAGUAACACGUGGGUAACCUACCCAUCAGAGGGGGAUAACACUUGGAAACAGGUGCUAAUACCGCAUAACAGUUUAUGCCGCAUGGCAUAAGAGUGAAAGGCGCUUUCGGGUGUCGCUGAUGGAUGGACCCGCGGUGCAUUAGCUAGUUGGUGAGGUAACGGCUCACCAAGGCCACGACGCAUAGCCGACCUGAGAGGGUGAUCGGCCACACUGGGACUGAGACACGGCCCAGACUCCUACGGGAGGCAGCAGUAGGGAAUCUUCGGCAAUGGACGAAAGUCUGACCGAGCAACGCCGCGUGAGUGAAGAAGGUUUUCGGAUCGUAAAACUCUGUUGUUAGAGAAGAACAAGGACGUUAGUAACUGAACGUCCCCUGACGGUAUCUAACCAGAAAGCCACGGCUAACUACGUG
Molecule: ribosomal RNA, 507 nt
Filed under: uncultured bacterium
Lineage: Bacteria
Description: partial 16S ribosomal RNA
Rfam family: Bacterial small subunit ribosomal RNA
Source: RNAcentral